GAGGAGCAAGCCAACGCUAAUCUGGGCAAAUUCCGGAAGCUUCAGCACGAGCUGGAUGAGGCCGAGGAGAGAGCCGACAUUGCGGAGUCUCAGGUCAACAAGAUGCGAGCCAAAAGCCGGGAUACUGGCUCCAAGAAAGGACAUGAUGAAGAGUGAAGCGCUCCAAUGAACUUCUCUGCCGAAGCUCUCACAGCGUCUGGCUACUCUGUUUCAUCAUCACUCCUUAUUUAUUAAUAAUCAGUAGAAUAAAUGCAAUUAAGACA
Molecule: non-coding RNA, 263 nt
Organism: Paramormyrops kingsleyae
Lineage: Eukaryota; Metazoa; Chordata; Actinopteri; Osteoglossiformes; Mormyridae
Source: RefSeq, a predicted model, not a curated record